UACUUCACCUGCUGAAUACCCUGAUGAUCACUCCCGUUUGUUUUACGUGUGUUAAAAACGGUUGCCUUUGUGAAUGUGCAUGUUUUGAAUCGAGUUCAGUUUACGCCCAUACAAGCUGAUGUGAGUCUAAAGGUGAAUGCCAAGGAGAUCAUGGUCUGCCCUUCACGAGCUGCAGAGGAAACGAGCAGCGCUCUACAGAUACUCACAACGGGCCCGAAUGCAUCUUUGGCGGGGCGCGUGGUGAUGUUGGCUCGCUGGGGGAUGGCUGAUCCCCGCAGAACCGGGGCGGCGCGGACACGAGCAAUUCCCCGCAGAAGUCCAGACAUCUUGAUCCUCUGAAAACGAAUGUGUAAUGAACAGGAAGAUGUAAAGGACACCGGAAUGUGCGUCAAGACUGGAGCAAGUGCUCAUGGUAAUGUUUUAGAUGCUGACCAUCUCAGACAGACUCUUUCAGGAGGACACAGCUGGGAUCCUUCAUUUCCAAAUCCUCUUUUUCAGGCUUUCUGAACUGUUGCUGCUGAGAAGCUGCCAUUGAGGAUGUGUGUAGCGUCUGCAGCGUUCCGGUUUGCCGUUUGUGCCCAAGGGCACAGUGGCCCGUAGCAUGUCCCCAGCACUCAUGGAGGACAUUGAAAUGUUUGCG
Molecule: long non-coding RNA, 640 nt
Organism: Carassius gibelio (silver crucian carp)
Lineage: Eukaryota; Metazoa; Chordata; Actinopteri; Cypriniformes; Cyprinidae
Exons: 4
Source: RefSeq, a predicted model, not a curated record